UGGGGAAUAUUGGACAAUGGGGGCAACCCUGAUCCAGCGAUGCCGCGUGUGUGAAGAAGGCCUGAGGGUUGUAAAGCACUUUAGUUGUUGAGGAAGGUUGUGAGGUGAAUACCCUCAUAACUUGACGGUAAACAAAGAAUAAGCACCGGCUAACUCUGUGCCAGCAGCCGCGGUAAUACAGAGGGUGCAAGCGUUAAUCGGAAUGACUGGGCGUAAAGGGCGCGUAAGUGGAUGCGUGAGUAAAUUCCGUGAAAGACCCGGGCUUAACCUGGGAAGGUCAAUUUAAACGGCGUAUCUAGAGUGGAGUAGAGGGAAGUAGAAUUCCACGUGUAGCAGUGAAAUGCGUAGAUAUGUGGAGGAACACCGAUGGCGAAGGCAGCCCCCUGGGUUAACACUGACGCUCAUGCACGAAAGCGUGGGGAGCAAACAGGAUUAGAUACCCUCGUAGUCCCUGAGCGGGCUGGCAAGGCGCAU
RNAcentral lists this ribosomal RNA (474 nucleotides) under uncultured bacterium. RNAcentral describes it as "bacterial SSU rRNA". It matches the Rfam family "Bacterial small subunit ribosomal RNA", at positions 355 to 825 of the family's 1533-position model. The record is from RNAcentral.